This 407-nucleotide ribosomal RNA is filed under the name uncultured bacterium. RNAcentral's name for it is "partial 16S ribosomal RNA". It matches the Rfam family "Bacterial small subunit ribosomal RNA", at positions 30 to 526 of the family's 1533-position model. The record is from RNAcentral.
AUUGAACGCUGGCGGCAGGCCUAACACAUGCAAGUCGAGCGGAGCGGCGGACGGGUGAGUAUUGCCUAGGAAUCUGCCUGGUCGUGGGGGAUAACGUCCGGAAACGGGCGCUAUUACCGCAUCCUAUUACAUGAGCCUAGGUCGGAUUAGCUAGUUGGUGGGGUAAUGGCCUACCAAGGCGACGAUCCGUAACUGGUCUGAGAGGAUGAUCAGUCACACUGGAACUGAGACACGGUCCAGACUCCUACGGGAGGCAGCAGUGGGGAAUAUUGGACAAUGGGCGAAAGCCUGAUCCAGCCAUGCCGCGUGUGUGAAGAAGGUCUUCGGAUUGUAAAGCACUUUAAGUUGGGAGGCGUUACCAGCAGAAUAAGCACCGGCUAACUUCGUGCCAGCAGCCGCGGUAAUAC